CUUCCAUAGGCUUCAUGUGGGGUCCGGUUUCCGUGUUUUUUCACCUUUUUCAGGGCAGUGAGUCCUGAGUCAGGACCGAAGAGAAUGGAACAGGCGAGGAGAGGCGUUGGCCCCGGUGCCCAGAGGCGGCUGUGAGGCCCCCCCGAGCCCGUAGUUGACGGCAGUGCCCUCGUUCCCGCCCCGCCCGCCGCCUCUUCCAGCUCCGUUCUUCCCACCGACCGGUGACCCCGGUGACCGAGGCUGCGCCGAUGAGGCCCGCUCAGGAAGCAACCACAAGGAUCAGGUUUCAGAAGAUAAUGAGUUAAAUUGUGGAUGUGUGACCCUAAGAUACCUCAAGGUGGAGAUGGCACAUAGGUUCCCAUGGCAUUUGCAGAAAUGCUUAUGGACCUGUACAGGUGAAUGGAGGAUGUGCCAGACCUUCAUCCACCCCAGUUAUCACCCUGAUGGUUCUGCCACUCUCAUAUAAAGAAUGCUGGUGGCCUGAGAUUGUUCACCCAUCCUCCCUUCCUUGGGUCUGAAGUCCCUGUGAUUUCACCAAGGCCUAAGGUCUUGAACUCAGUCCCAGAUUAUAUGGAGCUCUUCCCAUUUCCAACAACUGAUGGAGAAAGAUGUGGAAGGAUGUCGUGGGCACAGGAUCCAGAAUGUCCAGACGACUGGAGGGACUUGUGGUUUUUACAGACGUGGUCAUACAUUUCUCUCAGGAGGAGUGGGGGCUCCUUGAUGAGGCUCAGAGACACCUGUACCACCAUGUGAUGCUGGAGAACUUUGCAGUUCUCUCAUGACUAGGUUGUUGGCAUGGAGCCCAGGAUGAGGAGCCAGCUUCAGAGCAAGGUGUUUCUAUAGAAGUGUCACUGGCCAGGACGCCAAAGCCAGGUCCCUCCAUCGGGAAUGCCCAGCCCUGUGGGACAUGCAGCUCACUCUUGAAAGACAUUCUGUCCCUGGCUGAGCAGGGUGGAAUGCACCCUGGGCAAGGACUAUACACUUGUGAGGUAAAGCUUUGCCAGCACCAAAAACGUCACAUUAGAGAGAAACUUUCCUGAAAGGACAAGGGGAGGCCUUCAUUUGUGAAAAACUGUACUGUCCACAUGACACAGAGGACCUUCACAUGCAGGGAAGGAGGGAAGGACUUCCCAGCCAGCACAGGCCCUCUCCAGCACCAGCCUCUUCAUGGUGUGGGAAAGCCACAUGGGGACAUUGCAGAUGGAGAGGACUUUCAAAAUGGGCAAAGUGCUUACAAGUGCACUCAGUGUGGGAAAGCCUUCAGCCAUAACCAUACACUUGUUGACCAAGAGAAGAUCCACACUGGAGAAUAGUUUUAUGAGCAUAGGGAAUGUGGGAAGGCCUUUCUUAGAAAGUCCCACCACGAGCAGCAUCAGAAAGUCCACACUGAGCCUGGGCUUUAUGAGCACUCAGAAUGUGGAGUAUUCGUUACAGAAAUAUCUGGCCUCAAUGACUACCAGAGAAUUCACACAAGGCCAAGGCCUUUUGAGUGCAGCCUUCUUUAGACCGUCCCAACUCGUUGGUCACCAGAAAAUCCACACUGAAGAAAGAACUUACGGUGGUAGUGAGUGUGGAAAAUUCUUUAGGAACUGUUCCACACUCAUUAGACACCAGAGAGUUCACACUGGAGAAAGGCCUUUUGAGUGCACUGAAUGCAGGAGAGCCUUCACCUGCAAAUAUAGGCUUGUUGAGUACCAGAAAAUCCACAGUGGUGAAAAGACUGUUUCAGCCACAAAGACACAGUUGUUGAGCACCAGAAAAUCCACACUGGAGAAAGGCCUUACAAGUGCAGUGAAUGUGGGAAAUUCCUUAUGGACAGCUCUUCACUCAUUAUUCAUUAGAAAGUUCACACUGGACAAAGACGUUAUGAGUACGGCAAAUGUGGAAAAAAAUUUUUUUAAUUUAUUUAUUUUUGGCUGCUUUGGGUCUUUGUUGAUGCACGCGGGCUUUCUCUAGUUGUGGGGAGCGGGGGCUACUCUUUGUUGUGGUGCACGGGCUUCUCAUUAUGGUGUCUUCUCUUGUUGUUGAGCACGGGCUCUAGGGCACGUGGGCUUCAAUAGUUGCAGCGCAUGGGCUCAGUAGUUGUGGUUCGUGGGCUCUAGAGCUCAGGCUCAGUAGUUGUGGCACACAGGCUUAGUUGCUUCACGGCAUGUGGGAUCUUCCUGGACCAGGGCUCGAACCCGUGUCCCCUGCAUUGGCAGGAGGAUUCUUAAUCACUGCGCCACGAGGGAAGCCCCAAAUGUGGAAAAUUCUUUAGGUACCGCUACACCCUUAUUAGACAUCAGAGAAAUCAUACUGGAGAAAGGCCUUAUGAGUGCAUCGAUGUACGAAAUCCUUUUGUUGCAGCUCCACACUCAUUAGACAUUGGACAAAUCCCACCGGAGAAAGGCCUUAUUAGUGCAGCUAAUGUGGGAAAUUUUUGUAGUAAAACUCCAGAGUCAGUACACACUAGCGAGUUCACGUUGAUGUGAGGCAUUAUAAGAACAGCAAAUAAGGGAACAUCUUUACAUACAGCUCUGGUCUUGUUAAACACUGUUGAAUUUACACCAGAGAAAUGCCUUCUGAGUGCAGUGAGUGCUGGAAAGUCUGUAGUCAAAACUUCCAUUCAUUUGGCUCCAAAAAGUUCACACCAGAGAAAGAACUUAUGAAGGAAGCAAAUGGGGAAAGGACUUCAGCCGAAAGUCUGCUCUGAUUGGCACUGUGAAGUACAUAUUAUGUACUUUUGGGUUUUCUUUUCCUUCUUAUUGUGUUAAAAUACACACACAUAAAACUUGCCAUCUUUUAAGUAUUUUAGUGUGCCGUUCAGUACCGUGAGGUACAUUCACACUGUUGUGCAACCUAAUCUCCAGAGCUCCUCUUGUUUUGCAAAAAUGAAACCCUGUACUCAUUAAAUAACAACUCGUACUCCUCUCCUUCUCCAGCCCCUGGAAACCACUAUUCUCUGUCUCCUUGAAUUUGAGUGCCCCAGCUGCCUCAUGUAAGAAGAAUCAUACAGUUUUUGUAGUUUUGUGAAGACUUCAUUUACCAGAAUCUCACAUUUCACGUAUCACAUGUUCUGUUUCAGAAGUCCUUUCCUUUUUAAGCCUGAGUUAUACUCCAUUGUAUGCAUAUACACAUCUUUAUCCAUUCAUCUGGUGAUGAAGACUUCCCUUGUUUCCAUAUUUUAGCUGUUGUAAAGAGUGCAGCUGUGAGAACGACUGCACAAAUAUCUCCUUGAGAUCCUGUUUUCAGUUAUUUUCAGUGUAUAGCCAGAAGUGGAAUUCCUGGAUCAUAUGGUCAUUUUUUUUAAAAAAUUUAUUUUUGGCUGCAUUGGGUCUUCAUUGCUGCACACGGCCUUUCUCUAGUUGUGGAGUGCGGGCUUCUCAUUGCAGUGGCUUCUCGUUGUGAAGCACCAGCUCUAGGCACGUGGGCUUCAGUAGUUGUGGCUCGCAGGCUCAGUAGUUGUGGCAUACGGGCUUAGUUGCUUCGUGGCAUGUGGGAUCUUCCCAGACCAGGGCUCAAACCCGUGUCCCCUGCAUUGGCAGGCAGAUUCUUAACCACUGCACCACCAGGGAAGUCCCCAAUCUAUUUUUAACAUUUUGAACUCUUUCCUUUAUUGGCUAUACCAUUUUAUGCUCCCAUCAAACGUCCACAGAGUUCCAGUAUCUCCACAUCCUCAUUGACAUAAUUCUAUUUUCCGUUUCAUGUUUAAUAGUAGCUAUCCUAAUGGAUGUGAGGUAAUAUCUCACUGUAGUUUUGUUUAUUUUAUUUUAUAUAUAUAUUUUUUAUGGCUGCGUCGGGUCCUAGUUGCAGCAUGCGGGCUCUUUGUUGUGGCACAUGGGCUUCUCUAGUGUGGCAUGCAGAUUUUCUCUUCUCUAGUUGUGGCCCGUGGGCUUCUCUCUAGGUGUGGUGUGCAGGUUUUCUGUUCUUUAGUUGUGGCGCGUGGGCUCCAGAGCAUAUGGGCUGUAUAGUUGUGGCAUGCAGGCUCCAGAGCGUGUGGGCUCUGUAGUUUGCAGCAUGCGGGCUCUCUAGUUGAGGAGCGCGAGCUCAGUAGUUGUGAUGCGUGGGCUUAGUUGCCCUGUGGCAUUUGGGAUCUUAGUUCCCCAACUAGGGAUCGAACUCACAUCCCCUGCAUUGCAAGGUGGAUUCUUUACCACUGGACCACCAGGGAAGUUCCCUUACUGUAGUUUUGUUUAGCAUUUCCCUAAUGAUUAAUGAUCAUGUCUUCUUGGCCAUUUGUGUAUAUUCUUUGUAAAAAUCUCUAUGUUUACCCCUUUAAAAUUUUUCUUAUUGGUGAGUUUUAGCAGUUCUUUAUAUAAUCUGGAUACUGACCACUUAUCAAAUAUAUGAUUUGCAAAUGCUUUUCUUCCAUUCAGUAGCUUGCCAUUUCACUCUGUUGAUUGUGUCCUUUGCACAGAAGUUUGUACCCUUAUUUUUGCUUUUGUUUCCUAUGCUUUUCAUGUCAAUGCCAAGAAGUUAUAAAUCCAAUGUCAUGAAGCGUUUCCCCUAUGUCUUCAUCUAAGAGUUUUUGAGCUUACAUCGUACUGUCAGGUCUUUGUUUAUUUUGAGUUCAUUUUUGGGUGUGGUGUAAGGUAAGGGUCCAACUUCAUUCAUUUGAAUGCAGAUAUCCACUGUAAUUUGUUGGAGAGACUGUCCUCCUCCCAUUGAAUUGCGUUGGCACUCUUGUUGAUUAUUUGAUCAAAUAUACUGUCUUACAGUUUGGGGCACUCUGUUCUGUUUCAUUGGCCUAAAGUUUUGUGUUUAUGGCAGUACCAGUGUUUUGUUUUUGCUUUUUAAAAAUUUUUAUUACAAUGUAGUUAAUUUACAAUGUUGUGUUAGUUUCAGGUGUACAGCAAAGUGAAUCAGUUAUUCGUAUACAUAUAUCCACUCUUUUUUAGAUUCUUUUCCCAUAUAGACAAUUACAGAGUUUUGAGUAGAGUUCCCUGUGUUAGACAGUAGCUCCUUAUUAGUUAUAUUUCAGUUUUGAGUCCCUGGCUUGAUGUUAGUCAUUUCCUCUUUUAGAGCAGCAGCUGAUUAAGACCACAACCAAUCACUGUCUAUAUCAGGCACUCACACUCUGGACACCAUCCCUUAUGUCCCAGGGCCAGGAAACCAGGCAACUGGAGACAGCCUGUAUGCCCCUGACCCCAUGAAAUUAUUCCAGCUAGGUCAUCCAUGGGGAGCCUGGGAAACCUAGGUAGCCCCAGACCACCUGCUAUAUAUAGGGUGCUCCCUACAGCCCCAGGUUACUUACUGUGUCCCUGUACAGCCUGUUGUGUGCCCUGCCUGAUGCCCUUGUCUCAUCCUAAGCCCUAGGUAACAGAAUUCUUCUUAUCUACCCAAGUGUCAUCAAGAACUUUUAAAUCUUACAAAACAACUACAAACCCAGAAGAGUGUUAGGAAUGCAGUGAAUGUUGAAAGUUAUUCAGCUAUUAGCCUAAACUCAAACAGCACUGGUAAAUUUAAAUCGGAGAAACAUCUUCGGAGUGCAGGCAACAUGCUGUUUCCUUGUUCUACGUAAUUACAGAGCGACAUUUGGAGAUUAGUCUUUGUGAAAGAGAACUCAGCCAUAAAUUGAACUUCAUGCCUCCAGACAUCCCAGGAAGAUUCUCUUAAGUACCAAGUAUAUUGGAAGCUUUCAUGAUAACACCUUGCACUUCCGGACCUGCCUGGAGUCCUUGCCAGAAAUAAGUUGUUACCAGUAUCUGUUAUGUUAGCCUUCCCUCCUCUGCCACACGGCAGGGUGCCGCACUGUGUAUGAAUCAUCCUUACAGUGCUUGGGAGGCAGGAAGCUACACUUUCUUCCUUCAUCUGGAGGACUCACCCGUCUCUUGACUUUUGGGGUAUCUCAUUCACUUCCCACUGAUUGUUUUGGGUGGGAUAUUACCCAGUUCUGGACAAGAGGACUCCAGCUGGCUUCUGCAGGCAGCUUGUGGAGAUUUCACUUCUUCGUGAGUAUAUUUGAUUGACUUGUAAUGGUUGGGUUGAUUUUUCCACCCUCAGAGUCACCCGACCCAGGACUAUCAGCAGAGCUUAGAAGGGUUUGAAUUCCGCUCUAUCCCCAGAAUCAAAGCUCUCAGACACCAGGGAACACUACCCUGCUCACCUGUCCCAUGACUCCAAGAUUCAACCCUUCUCUCACUCAUGAACUCAGGAUACAUUUCUGCCAUAGCAGUAGAAUUUUUUCACUGCAUGCACCUGCUUUCACAUAUGUGUACCAUACUUAAUGACGAGCUCCUUCCCUGCUCAAGGGCAGGACCCAUAUCUCUGUCAUCCAUAUCAUCCCACUACUCAGAACACAGUGCUUGGUGGGUGGAGCAGCAAGGCCACAGCCAGACCCUCUGAGUGACCACAGAUAUGAAGACAAGGCAGAGAAAACUGGAUGGUGAGAGAAUGAACCCUAGUGGGUCCUUCACCCACUGGGAUGCAUCUCAUAUGUCUUGCAGUUUGGGGCCCAGGUCCCUUUAUGGACCACCUUGUCCCAAGGAGCUCCCAGUUAUGGAAAGAAUAACCCUCUGCUUUGAACCAAGAAUUGUUUCCUGAGAGUGGAUUCUCUGACUCUCAUGGAUCCCAAGGCUCAGAUUCAUGUACAGCUACAGCUACAACCCAGACAAUUAUCUUGAGAGGAGAUAUAAGAGGGUAGUGUCUUCAAAACGCAACUUAACUUUCCUACAGAAUACAGGAACCACACAAGCUAUUCUCAAAACAUUAUAAAUUUAGCGGAAAAAAUGAUGUUUUUUCUCACUGAGAGCCGUGUGUGCAGUAACAAUAUUGGAUAAAACACAACAUAAAGGGUUCGUGUCCACCUUGGCAACACAAAAGUAUGUAUUUGAUUAUAUAAAAGGCUCCAAGGAGGGCUCAACUGAACAGUACAUUUUUUUAAACCAAAGGUCAUAUUGAUUAUUUCAUGCAGCUUUGAAAUUAGUCCCAAAGACAGUCCCAAGGGAGGAAUUUCAACACAACCUGACUGAUAAGAGCAUCCUGAGAAUAAGACCACAGUAGUAACUGUGAAACCCAUACGUGGCUACCUGUAUGCAUCCUGGUUUUCCUGUUAAAGUUCCAGUCACUUUACAAUGUUUCACAGAAACUUUUUUUCCCCUGCAAAAAGCGCUAUUUUUUCCAUUUGGCCCAAGGCUUGGAGAGGGCUCCAGGGUGGUUAACAAGCUGCCCAGUGGCUGCAGGGACAGGCUUCAGGGAGAAGCCCUGACCCCAGAGGGGCUCCUCACAGGCCGCUGGGCUCCAGGGGCUCCUAGUGGUGCCUGAGGCUGAGCCUUUGGAAGAAACAUUCGCCCAGCCCAGCCUGGGGGCCGAGCAGCCUGCGGAGGUUGGUCAGGUGGUCGCCAAUCUUCUUGAUGAAUUUCACCUGCUCAUCCAGGAAGUGGCUCCAGGAAGUCCAGAGGUGGAGUCUGCGCGGGCAGAGCCCAGGGCCUGCGGACCCACAGGGCCUGGCGCAGGUUCUUCUCCGUCAGCCGGGCGGCUUCCACGGCGUCCUGGGCUUUCCCCACGCUCCUGGGACGGCUUCGGCACGUCCUGGAAGAGGGCGCGGCCACAGCGCUGCUUUUGCCUUUUCCAGUGAGCUCGGGCCCUCCGACUCCUCCUCGGCCAGUUCGCGAAACAAUGUCUCACGCCCUCGAGAAGCGCAGAGACAGUUGCAGUUCAGCACAUAGAAAAUUAGAAACGCCCGUCUACUCAGGAGUAAAGACUUCAAGAAACACCAGGAAGAGGAAAGACUUAGGACUCACCUGGGAUGACAACACAGCUACAUGAUCAUCCUCACCCUUCUGGGUAAAAUACAAACUUCCCAAACAAUGGCUAACAAUCCAGGGAAAUAAUUCCUCCCUUUGCCAAACCAUCCUUGAUCCGCUGUCCCUGAAACUUCCUCAACGCAUACGGACCCUCCAGUAGAGACCAUAACCUCCCCCAACUCUGUCCCCUUCAGACUGUGAUUCCUGGGCCUUGUUAGCAGGCAUUUCGGAUAUAGUUUUCUGCUACCAGGGCUUGGGCUGAUUUGCUUCCAUCACGUGACCUUUAGUGUUUACAUUCGGUCUUCAAACGUGUGAGACUGCAGGUUGUGGCAAGAUGAGCACCCAGCUCCUGUUCUGGCUGCCAUCAGCACAUCAUCAAACCUACAGUUACUAAUAAAAAGACAUUUUAAUCAAAGAAGACAAUACACCUGGCAAAGAACACAGGAAUGUUCAACAUCAUGAAUCACUAGAGAAAUGCAUGAGACCACAGUGAGUCCCACAGAGAGCCCUGCACUCUACCCCAGAAGGCCUUGGACAACGAUGCAAAAUGGGCCAGAACUGGAGUGAAAACUAUUCUCUGCCAUGAUACUACCCCCAGUGAGGUAUACUAAGUUUGGAACACCCACAAAACCUGUUCCUGUGUCCUGUCCUAGCCAGUUGAUGGAAGAGAAUGACAAAACCCACGUGCUCAGGGAAUCCAUGCUUUUCUACAGGGGAUACGAGAGCACAAAAGGCUACCUACCCUGAUCACACUUAGAUGACUGAGUCCCAGUAUGGGGAUCUGCCACUUGGAAAAGUGUGACUGUCUUCUUAAGGCCUCUCUCCUGUGUGGACUCUCUCAUGCUCUGCAAGCCUAUACAUCCAGGGGUAGGCUUUCCCACACUCAUAGCACUUAUAGAGACUUUUACCAUUGUGAAACACUGCUGUGCAGUCAGCAUCCUUUUGUGGAGUGACCUGGUGCUGGAGAAGGCUAGAGCUACCAGGGAAAUCCAUCCCAGCCUCCUGGCAUGUGAAGGAGUUCUUGGCUGCAUGGACUAUGUGGCUCCUCAUAAAGGCCUUACCCCUGUCUCUUCUAAAGAGUUUCCCUCCUCUGUGCUGGUGAAAUUUCACACCUGACACACACAGUUUCUGGCCAGGAAUUGUUCCCAGGUCUUCACCUAGAGGCAAACUUACUGUUUAAGGCCAGGCUACACAUCUUCCAGGGACAGGACUUUGGAUGGACAGGUCUCUGAAGUAUUUAUUCAUGGCACUUCUACAGAAACAUUCUGCUCAGAAAUUAUCUCCUUGUGCUCUGCUCCAUGCCAACAAACUGAAAGCAGAGAAAUGACACAAUGUUGGGGGGAGUGCACACAGAAAUGAGGUACACAGUCACUGGCUUUGGCACCAAAACACUGUGGGGCACAGGACAUGAUCCUGAUAUAAUUUGAACCCCUGAUGCCAAAUCAAUGGGGCCAAGCCCACUUUGAACCCCUCAUGCUGGGGCUUGGAGUCAUGUCCACUCUGUCAUGUCCCAGGGUUCACCUCCCAGCUCCAGUUGGACAACAACAUGGAACCUAGAAAAUGCAAGUCCUAAGGGAAAGACAGGACAGGUGAACAGUCAGUACUAGCCCAGGAGAACAACCAAUCCCCCAAAAAACCUGAGGAAAGAAAAACAGUGUCACAAAAAGAACCAGUGUCCCUGCUGGAUCCCAACAAUUCCUGGUACAGUCAGGGCCCAGGAAAUAUCAGCUGGAAGGGGGCAGAACCUAGCGCACAGAGGUGUGUGGGUCUACAGAGUCAACUUAGCAGGGAGUGGCUGAGACUGAUGGAACCCACUGAACUAAUUCCAAGUCUUAUGACCCAGAAAAACUUCACUGAAAAAACUUCAGAGCUGCUGGUACUGGGGAUACUUCUGAAAGGAGGUCGUACUCAUUCAGCCUUGGCACCAAUAACACAGAUGAGAGGGAAGCAGUAAUAGAGAUGUGCCCACUGUCUAGGAGUCUGUGAAAAAACAGACUUGCCUUUGGAAAAGGGAAAGGCAGAGACCUGCCCAGGAUGCUGGGAUAGGUGGGAGGGCCUUACCCAAUGAUGCAACAAGUGCAAAGGGCUCCAGGAUCACAUCACGGCACAGGAAUCUCUGGGCCUCAUCAAGAAGCUUCCAUUCCUCCUGGGAAAAGUACCCAGCCACGUCCUCAAAAGUCACAGGGCCCUGUGAUGAUGGGACAGAUUUGUACAUAAGCAGCCUCUCUCCCCAGGACCCCAUAAGUACUUCUAAACCCAGCCCAUACUCUGGGUUCAUCAUCCACCCCAGCUCCGUGACUUAGAGGGCAGUGGGCCCAAUAACUCUUCAUGCUUCCUUUAUCAGUAUGUAUGACCCUGAGCAACAACAGGCAGGUGGACAGAGAGAUACCAUGUAAUCUGUGAGCCUGGUAUGCAGGGCCCUUUCCCUUUCCUCCAAGACAACAGCCUGAGUGUACUCACUAUCAUGUCUCCCAGAUACAAGCAAACUUAGCCCCAUCCUUCUCUCUUAUACUUCUAGUACUAGGGCUUGGGGCAAUUACUUCACACACUUUCCUCACAUGCAUAUUACUCACUGAACCUCCUCAUACAUUACAUGUCUACCAUCAUUCUCAGAACAGAAACCUCAUGCUACCAUUCUAAUUCUGCCCCUCUUGCUCUCUGUCCUUAUCAGUUGUUAACAGACCUACAUGUCCUAGAGCACUCCCAUCACAAUCACAUCCUCAAGCAUUUGUAUAUACUAGCCCCAUUACUAAGACAACCUUUCAUGUCUCAGUCCGCUGGCUGCCAAAAAUGGGAAUCUGUCCAUAAAACCUAGGAUCUACAGACACCAAGUCCAUGAAGACACCUGACACCAGUGCAGGGGCCAUAAAUGGUUCUGCUGAGCGAACCAUUUAAUAUUUCAGGCAAAGACAAAUACUCAAGAGAAAAAUAAAGCAUGUAAAAGAGGGCAGAAAAUGUUAUAGAGUUGUGCCAUAAGGUCAUGUGGAUACCUUGAGAAAAGGCUGUCCAGAAGUGGGACAAAAAAGUGCAAAGCCUCUCUAUCAGAGUCAUGUCUGGUGUGUAUGAACAGCAUCCACAAGGCUAGUGUGACUGGAGCCCAUUGAGCCAGAAGAAUAAGGGAUUGUGUUGGAGAGGAAAUGGUUCUUUUCAAAUUUUACUUUGGUUAUAUUAAAAAUUAUUACUUUAUAAAAAUCUCCACCUUACAUAAUCCAUAGAUUAAAUUCUGAUUUGGAAUUAUGCUAACAUUACAUAAUAGGAUUCAAGAAUAUAUACUUUUUAUACUUAUCCACCAUAUUCUUUGAUAUAUCCAUUUUUUUCCCCCAUACCUGUUCAGAGAGACUAUCUGUAAUUUCCUACUAGAUUUCUUCUCCAGGGGUAGAGAUCAUGAACCACAAUUUACUGAAUUCACACUGAAUAUGACUCUCUGGAAAAGGGAUUCUUGCCAGAAUCAAAGUGCUUGGCCUCCAGCACUUGGGGAUAACUGGGCAUCAUUGCUGACUCUUUAAACUUAAGAGAACUGCAACAAGCUAUAGGACUUGACCUCUAGUCCAUCUGCAUUGUAGAAACACAGAAAUACCUUAUUGAGUUCUUAACAUCUUGCAUUAUCACUUUUUACACUUACAAUGUCACUUACAAUGACAAAAAGUGAUAAUGACAAAGCAUUAUCACUUUUUACACUUACAAUGAUUCAUUUUAUCACCCUUAAAACAAGUAUUUUAACAAGAUAGCUUAAUCAUUUAUGAUUUUCCACUAAAAUAAGUAUUAUUCAGGAACUUCCCUGGUGGUCCAGUGAUUAAAAAUCUGCCUUCCAAUGCAGGGGAUGCAGGUUGGAUCCCACAUACUGUGGUGGGGCAACUGAGCCCAUGUGCUUCAACGAAAGAUCCUGUGUGCUGCAACUAAGACCUGACACAGCCAAAAAUAAAUAAAACAAUACAUAAGCAUUAUUUGAAGAGUACAAUCACAUUCUACCUGAAAAAGAAUUCAGAGUAAUGAUAGUAAAGAUGAUUCAAAAUCUCAGAAAAAGAAUGGAAACAGAUGGAGAAGAUACAAGAAAUGUUUAAAAGAAAGGUAGAUUUGAUGAACAAUACAAUACCUGAAAUGAAAAAUACACUGGAGGGAUUCAAUAGCAGGAUAACUAAGGUAGAAGAACGACUAAGUGAGCUUGGAUGACAGAGUGGUGGAAAUAACAACAUUUAAUGAACCAACAUUUGCAUUAUAAGGGUCGAAGAAGAGAAAGGGAAAGGGCCUGAGAAAAUAUUUGAGGAGAUUACAGCCGAAAACAUCCCUAACAUGGGAAAGGAAACACCCGAGUCCAAGAAGUGCAGAGUCCCAUACAGGAUAAACCCAAGGAGAAACACACCAAAACACAUAUUAAUCAAACUGAUACAAAUUAAACACAAAGGAAAAAUAUUAAAAGCAGCAAGGGAAAAGCAACAAAUAACACACAAAGGAAUGAUAACCAUAAGGCUAUAUCAGCUGAUUUUUCAACAGAAACUCUGCAGGCCAAAGUGGCACAAUAUAUAUUUAAAUGGUGAAAGGGAAAAAACCUACAACCAGCAAUACUCUACUCAGCAAGGCUUUCAUUCAGAUUAGAUGGAGAAAUUAAAAGCUUUACAGACAAGACAAGCAAAAGCAAAGAGAAUUCAGCACCACCAGACCAACUUUGCAAAAAGUGCUAAAAGAACUUCUCUAGGCAGAAAAGAAAAGGUCACAACUAGAAACAAGAAAAUCACAAAAGGGAAAGCUCAUCAGUAAAGGCAAACAGACAGUAAAAGAAGGAAACCAAAAAAAAAAAAAAAAAAAAAAAGAAGGAAACCAUCCACACACGAAAUAUGAUAUCAAAACAGCAACCAUGAGGAGUACAAAUGCAGGAAAUGGGAAUUGCGUUUGAAAUUAAGACACCAGCACCUCAAAACAAUCCUGUACAUACAUAGACUGCUAUAUAAAAACCACAUAGAUGCAGGGGACACGGGUUCAAGUCCUGGUCGGGUAAGAUCGCACAUGCCAUGGAGCAAGUAAGCCUGUGUGCCACAACUACCGAGUGUGCACUCUAGAGCCCCCAAGCCACAAUUACUGAGCUCACGUGCCUAGAGCCAAUGCUCUGCAAUGAGAAGCCAUGUAAAUGAAAAGCCUGCACACUGCAAUGAAGAGUAGCUCCCAAUUGCCGCAACUAGAGAAAGCCCGCACACAGCAACAAACACCCAACUCAGCCAAAAAGAAAAAAAACAUACAGGCAGACUGCAAACCAAAAAAUUACAAUAGGUUCAAAAAAAGAAAAAAAAAAAAACCCAAA
Non-coding RNA from Globicephala melas (long-finned pilot whale), 13017 nucleotides. The record is from RefSeq and is a predicted model, not a curated record. NCBI's taxonomy places the organism in Eukaryota, Metazoa, Chordata, Mammalia, Artiodactyla, Delphinidae.